Molecule: ribosomal RNA, 466 nt
Filed under: uncultured bacterium
Lineage: Bacteria
Description: partial 16S ribosomal RNA
Rfam family: Bacterial small subunit ribosomal RNA
Source: RNAcentral
GAUGAACGCUGGCGGCGUGCUUAACACAUGCAAGUCGAACGGAAAGGCUCCUGCUUGCAGGGGUACUCGAGUGGCGAACGGGUGAGUAACACGUGGGUGAUCUGCCCUGCACUUCGGGAUAAGCCUUGGAAACUGGGUCUAAUACCGGAUAGGACGAUGGUUUGGAUGCCAUUGUGGAAAGUUUUUUCGGUGUGGGAUGAGCUCGCGGCCUAUCGGCUUGUUGGUGGGGUAAUGGCCUACCAAGGCGUCGACGGGUAGCCGGCCUGAGAGGGUGUACGGCCACAUUGGGACUGAGAUACGGCCCAGACUCCUACGGGAGGCAGCAGUGGGGAAUAUUGCACAAUGGGCGCAAGCCUGAUGCAGCGACGCCGCGUGGGGGAUGACGGCCUUCGGGUUGUAAACUACUUUCGCUAGGGACGAAGCGCAAGUGACGGUACCUGGAGAAGAAGCACCGGCUAACUACGUG